UGGGGAAUAUUGGAAAUGGGCGAAAGCCUGAUCCAGCCAUGCCGCGUGUGUGAAGAAGGUCUUCGGAUUGUAAAGCACUUUAAGUUGGGAGGAAGGGCAGUAAGCGAAUACCUUGCUGUUUUGACGUUACCGACAGAAUAAGCACCGGCUAACUCUGUGCCAGCAGCCGCGGUAAUACAGAGGGUGCAAGCGUUAAUCGGAAUUACUGGGCGUAAAGCGCGCGUAGGUGGUUCGUUAAGUUGAAUGUGAAAGCCCCGGGCUCAACCUGGGGACUGCAUCCAAAACUGGCGAGCUAGAGUAGGGCAGAGGGUGGUGGAAUUUCCUGUGUAGCGGUGAAAUGCGUAGAUAUAGGAAGGAACACCAGUGGCGAAGGCGACCACCUGGGCUCAUACUGACACUGAGGUGCGAAAGCGUGGGGAGCAAACAGG
RNAcentral lists this ribosomal RNA (428 nucleotides) under Pseudomonadota bacterium. RNAcentral's name for it is "Proteobacteria bacterium partial 16S ribosomal RNA". It matches the Rfam family "Bacterial small subunit ribosomal RNA", at positions 355 to 776 of the family's 1533-position model. Lineage: Bacteria; Pseudomonadati; Pseudomonadota. The record is from RNAcentral.